ACUUAACAGAGGUCCUCAGAAAGAGUGUGUAUGUUUGUGUGUGGACAUUUUGAGUCUGCUGGGAUAUGUGCUAUGACCUUAAGGAAAUGCAGUCAGGAUCGCAGGGAGCUUGGAGCCUACAUCCCAGAGGACUCCCAAGGUGGGGGACACCCUGGACCCAUCGCAGGGCACAUUCACACACAUUACGGAGAAUUUGGGAAUGCGAAUCAGCCUACAAGGCGUGUCUUUGGACUGGGGAGGAAACUGGAGUACCCGGAGGAAACCCCCAAAUCAUGUGAAGAACAUGCAAGCUCCAUACAGUCAAACCCCCAACUCCGGAGGUGCUAGGCAAAUGUGCUAACCACUAAUUCACCGUGCUGCCCAUCUACAGGAAACUUAAGCAUAGACGGAUGAUAAGGAUGGUGAGUGCUUCAAGACCUUCAUAACACAUGGCUCCUUUCUCCAAAACGUUUUCCUGAGUAACCCCAGGACAGUUCUAAAAGACAGAUACAAGCGUUUUUGUUUUACAAGAGUUUUGUUCUUCAUCACUCUGGUCUUCCUCUUGCUCACGUAUAAUGUAAGGGCGAUGAUUUCAUAAAUAUUCAGAAUGGUGUUAUAAGCUGUACCAAUCAUUUAAUGACGAAUAAUAGAUGCUAAUAUUUCUUAGCCAAUCAUUUUUUAGUCCAAUCGAAUAACAUGCAAUCACAAAGGUACCGCAGUUCUUCAUUGCUCUGCUCUCUCCUCACUGUCUCUUCUCUUCUCUUCUCU
Molecule: long non-coding RNA, 747 nt
Organism: Ictalurus punctatus (channel catfish)
Lineage: Eukaryota; Metazoa; Chordata; Actinopteri; Siluriformes; Ictaluridae
Source: Ensembl